UUCCAAUCACUCAGAGAAAAAUCAGACAUGUAGAAAUAACUGGAAACUCAAGAGAGCCAUGACAUUAUGUUCUUUACUUUAAGUGACCACAACUGUAUGUGUGAUGGUGUAAUUAAACUUGUCUCUCUGUCACGUGUGCACGUCAGGUGAGGCACUUUGAUAAAUUCUCUAGACACACAGUGUUGGGAGAGGUGAGGGUUCCUCUAGGGCAGCUCAACAUCUCCUAUCCUCUUGAGCUACAGGAAGAUCUGAAGACACCCCAGAAGGAUCUCGUAGGAGAGGUGCUCCUCACUUUAAAGUUUCUUCCCACCUCUCAGAGGCUUGAAGUUGGACUACUUAAGGUCAGAACGGUCCUCACAGAAAUAUGCUCAGAUAGAGCCCUAUAUGCCAGGAUCAGUGUGCAGUGCAACCAGCACAAAUUGAGGUACCAAAAAACCUCUGCUGUGGCCCAUUCACUGGUAACUGUCUUCAAUGAGGUCCUCAUGUUCUCCCUGCCAGAGUGUCCCCUGGAGCAGUGUAAAAUAUCAGUUUCUGUGUACGAGACUCACAUAACUAGGAAAUUAUCCAAAAAUCUAAUUGGACAGUUGACUUUGGGUAAGGAAAGAAAUUCACAGGACAAGCAUUGGAGCUUAAUGAUGUGCUCCGUUCGCCAGCCAAUAGCAAAGUGGCAUGGCAUACUGAUUUGACUCAUAUGUAAAUACUCACCGGCAGGGGCUUGAUGUUCACACCUGUUUGCAUAUGACUGAAAGCUGUAUUGCUCGUGUGUCGGCCUGAGGGAUCUGUGCCUGUGUAGCAGUAUGCCAAACAUAAACACCUCUCCUUCCUGACGCCUUAGUGGUAGAAAUAUCUUUCUGUUCCAAUCCGUUCAGCUCAACGGCCAAAAUGAAACUUUAGGUUGGUCAUUCUACAGGAACAUUUUUUUUUCUGUUGUCAACCGCUCUUUUUAACUCCAAUUCUCAUCACAUUGAAAGAGCCGGAUUGGACGUUGGCACUCCUUAUUGCUGAAGAUUACUUUUUUUACUCAAUCUGUGCAUAACUGUGUUGUUUGUGUCACAGUCAGCUUUUAUAUCUACACUUCUUUUUUGCUUGUUCCAAAAUCACGUCAUUCUGCAUUAAUAAAUCUCUAUAUCACAGGU
Long non-coding RNA from Gasterosteus aculeatus aculeatus (three-spined stickleback), 1136 nucleotides. RefSeq lists it as uncharacterized. The record is from RefSeq and is a predicted model, not a curated record. Lineage: Eukaryota; Metazoa; Chordata; Actinopteri; Perciformes; Gasterosteidae.